UAGGGAAUCUACGGCAAUGGACGAAAGUCUGACCGAGCAACGCCGCGUGAGUGAAGAAGGUUUUCGGAUCGUAAAACUCUGUUGUUAGAGAAGAACAAGGACGUUAGUAACUGAACGUCCCCUGACGGUAUCUAACCAGAAAGCCACGGCUAACUACGUGCCAGCAGCCGCGGUAAUACGUAGGUGGCAAGCGUUGUCCGGAUUUAUUGGGCGUAAAGCGAGCGCAGGCGGUUUCUUAAGUCUGAUGUGAAAGCCCCCGGCUCAACCGGGGAGGGUCAUUGGAAACUGGGAGACUUGAGUGCAGAAGAGGAGAGUGGAAUUCCAUGUGUAGCGGUGAAAUGCGUAGAUAUAUGGAGGAACACCAGUGGCGAAGGCGGCUCUCUGGUCUGUAACUGACGCUGAGGCUCGAAAGCGUGGGGAGCAAACAGG
This 429-nucleotide ribosomal RNA is filed under the name Gemmatimonadota bacterium. RNAcentral describes it as "Gemmatimonadetes bacterium partial 16S ribosomal RNA". It matches the Rfam family "Bacterial small subunit ribosomal RNA", at positions 355 to 776 of the family's 1533-position model. The record is from RNAcentral. Lineage: Bacteria; Pseudomonadati; Gemmatimonadota.